Molecule: long non-coding RNA, 1113 nt
Filed under: Phascolarctos cinereus (koala)
Lineage: Eukaryota; Metazoa; Chordata; Mammalia; Diprotodontia; Phascolarctidae
Description: lncRNA (ENSPCIG00000016457.2)
Source: RNAcentral
GGAAAAUCACGUGAUUGAGGUGGAAGGACCCAAGAGCAUGGAGUGGCAUGUCUACAAAGAGUCUUCAAACACAGAAUAUAUAAUGACAGAGGAAGAAGAGAUCUCAGGCUACAAAAAGUGGAAGGACCCAAAAGCACGGAGUGGCAUGCCUCCAAAGAGUCUUCAAAUGUAGAGCAUAUAAUGACAGAGGAAGAAGAGGUCUCAGACCAUAAAAAGUAAGUACAUCCACAGCCAUGGAGCUUUUCACCUUGAGAUAAUUACUAUCAGCGCAGAAAGGGCACAGCAUCUUUGAAGCACAGCAUUGGAAGUCCAUAGGACAGACUGUCAAGUCUGAGAGAUGUCUUAGAAGACAUAACAUAGAGUAACAGAACUGGGAAUGACUUUGGAACAAAGAUUGUACUGGUGGGAAGUGCCAGUUGAACACAGAAAUGCAGAGGUAGGAGAGGCAUUCUAACUGAGAACACAGAUUAUCCAAGAUAUAAGGCCCUUCAGACACAGAGUUGAAACAUAUAACUUUAGAACACAAACUGUUAUCAUGAGAAAGAACUGUGCAUCACUGAGUAUGGAUGAUCUUUGGGAGGGAUGGUUACAAGUCAUACUUCUGGAGGUUUUGGGUUGUACCAAUCCACAUUCCCAUUGAAAGAUACUCUGUCUUUCUGUGAUGUGGUAAACCUUGGAGCUUAGUCUAUCAGACCUAGAAGUGUCCUUUGGCUAUCAACUGUCAUCAGUGGAAUGGACAGUACAAUAUAGAUUGGUCCAAGUAGAAAGACUUGAGUUCCUUAAGUGCAUGGAUACAAAUUAAUAUCAUGAGAACACAUUCUGCAUCACUGAACAUGGAUGACCAUUGGCUGAAAUAGGUUAGCAGAUGUACUUCACAUUUGGGAUGGCCCUAAUCUUCUCUAAGGUUUCUUCUUAGUCUGACAUUCCAUGUUUUGAUGAUGUUGUGAAACUUGGAGGAUAGAAUAUCAGGCCUAGAAUUUGCCUUAACCCGUCAACAGAUGGCAGUGGAAUGGCCAAAAGAAUAUAGAUCAAGAGGACUGGAAUGCCCCAAGAGGAUGGAUUCUCAAGCUUGGGAGCAGCCUCAAAAUAAACCACGUGCAUUGCAAGUUCUCA